Lonchura striata (white-rumped munia) is the source of this 258-nucleotide non-coding RNA. Lineage: Eukaryota; Metazoa; Chordata; Aves; Passeriformes; Estrildidae. The record is from RefSeq and is a predicted model, not a curated record.
GUUGCCUUUGGACUUACACCUUGAAAAUCUCUCAGAUGACAUUGCUGCUUUACUCUCCACCACCCAUAAUGCAGAAGGCAGUGGCAGAAGCAUGAGCAUGAAAUGAGUCUCUAACAAGAGAAACUGCAGCAUCAAGAGGCCACAUUAGGUGACUACAUAAGUAUUACUUUCUUUUUUGUGCUGCCAUGCAGAAAGUAAUUCACCAUCUCCCUGGUGUCUGCAAUUCUUCAGCUUUUCCUGAAGAUAAAGGACAAAGAG